Molecule: long non-coding RNA, 575 nt
Organism: Melospiza georgiana
Lineage: Eukaryota; Metazoa; Chordata; Aves; Passeriformes; Passerellidae
Exons: 4
Source: RefSeq, a predicted model, not a curated record
UAUGUAAAAUGGGUAAAUUGGAGUCUUUAAAGGAGCUGCCAACUUGCAUUUGCCUGAGUUACUUCAGCAGUGGAGAGCAGAGGAAGAAUUCCAGACACGUCAUCCUGAUUUCACAAGUCUGCAGAGAUCUCAGAGUGGCCUUACCCAUCUGUGAGGAAGGCUAUACAUGCAAAUUCACAUUCCUGAAGCAUUCCCACUAACUCUGCCCUUCUGUUCUAGCAGAAUGAGGAAAAACUGUGGGCUGCCAAAAGGUGAAGACAACCACUUUAUCUGCAGGAGAAUAUUCAUUUAUGGCACUUCACUGGUGAUACAGGUUUGAAAUGGGAAAAUGGGCUUAAAGCCUUCUUCAGGAGAGAUUUACUCUCAGCUUUCUCCAGUGUGAUUGCUUUGAGUCUGUAAGGUCAUCAUGGUUGAAGGCAUGAAGAUGAGGACAUCAAAGCCUUUGCCCACUUAUGACAAUUACUCUGGAGACAAACACAGCUCAGAAGACAAAUGUUAUGAGCUACCUGUAAGUUCUGGUUCACAAAACAGAUGAGAAUCCAGAGAUACUCCUGAACUUGGAAAUGAAAUUUAUU